AAUUCUUUCAAUUUUUUUUUUUUUUUUAAUUAAAAUAAUUAUCAAUGAUGAUAAAGUAAGUAAAUAAAAAUAAUAUGAGUAAUUCAAAAUGACAGAUGAAUAUUCUUCAGUAGCUGAAGUCUUACUAAACGACUAUGACUUUCGUUCAGAGUUUGUAAGCUGGAAACCUUCUACGAGAGUGAGCAGAAGAAGAAGAAGAAGAAGGUAUAAACCAAUGGAAAAAGAGAAAGAGAGAGAAAGAAAGGGAGAGAGAGAGAGAGGAUAUCCUAUCACACCACGAUACUAACUAACAAAGGAUAGUUGUAAAGCUACGCCCAGACGUCCUUGUCAGCUUAUACAAAUCGUACUUGAAGGUGGGGAUUCUUAACAGAGGCUAAAAAACGGCUCGAUUGAUCCUCAUCGAUAAAGACAAGGGUUGGGAACCCCAAGUGUCUCCUUUCUAUAGAUCGUUGAGCUUGCUGAAUUCCCUCGGUUGUACGGACGGCCCGGGGCCUUAACGAUAGACAAUACGGAUUCAGAAAGGGACUAUCGACGAUGGGCACGAUCAAAAGUAUCGUGGCUGCGUUCGACAGAGCACAGACUAAACCCCACAAAGGAAGGAAGGCCAGUAGUGCUCCUGACAACACUAGACGUACGAAACGUUUUUUACUCGGCGAGGUGGGCGAACAGCGUGCAGGUGUUCUCGAUAUCUGGAACGGACUUGUGAAUGGAUGCACGAACACGGACUGGAGUUAGCUGUACAUAAGACAGAACUACUCUACCUGACAAGGCGACGAAUAGACAUGACGGCUCCCAUGAUGGUGGGUGCGAACCAAUUGCUACCUACUGAUUUACUACUUUUUUUGCUACCUACGAAACUACUGAUGGUGGUUACCCACUCGAUCCUCCUCUACGGGGCCGAGAUAUGGGGGGACACGAUGCGGAUUAAGAAAUAUCGGCUAUAAGAUAUAUCAAAA
This is a long non-coding RNA of Polistes dominula (European paper wasp), 956 nucleotides long. NCBI's taxonomy places the organism in Eukaryota, Metazoa, Arthropoda, Insecta, Hymenoptera, Vespidae. The record is from RefSeq and is a predicted model, not a curated record.